GGUUAAGCGACUAAGCGUACACGGUGGAUGCCCUGGCAGUCAGAGGCGAUGAAGGACGUGCUAAUCUGCGAAAAGCGUCGGUAAGGUGAUAUGAACCGUUACAGCCGGCGAUGUCCGAAUGGGGAAACCCAGUGCAAUUCGUUGCACUAUCGUUUGAUGAAUACAUAGUCAAACGAGGCGAACCGGGGGAACUGAAACAUCUAAGUACCCCGAGGAAAAGAAAUCAACCGAGAUUCCCCCAGUAGCGGCGAGCGAACGGGGAGCAGCCCGGAGUCUGAAUCAGCUUGUGUGUUAGUGGAAGCGUCUGGAAAGUCGCAGGGUACAGGGUGAUACUCCCGUACACUAAAACGCACAGGUUGUGAACUCGAAGAGUAGGGCGGGACACGUGGUAUCCUGUCUGAAUAUGGGGGGACCAUCCUCCAAGGCUAAAUACUCCUGACUGACCGAUAGUGAACCAGUACCGUGAGGGAAAGGCGAAAAGAACCCCGGCGAGGGGAGUGAAAAAGAACCUGAAACCGUGUACGUACAAGCAGUAGGAGCCCACUUGUUGGGUGACUGCGUACCUUUUGUAUAAUGGGUCAGCGACUUAUAUUCUGUAGCAAGGUUAACCGUAUAGGGGAGCCGCAGGGAAACCGAGUCUUAACUGGGCGUUAAGUUGCAGGGUAUAGACCCGAAACCCGGUGAUCUAGCCAUGGGCAGGUUGAAGGUUGGGUAACACUAACUGGAGGACCGAACCGACUAAUGUUGAAAAAUUAGCGGAUGACUUGUGGCUGGGGGUGAAAGGCCAAUCAAACCGGGAGAUAGCUGGUUCUCCCCGAAAGCUAUUUAGGUAGCGCCUUGUGAACUCAUCUUCGGGGGUAGAGCACUGUUUCGGCUAGGGGGUCAUCCCGACUUACCAACCCGAUGCAAACUACGAAUACCGAAGAAUGUUAUCACGGGAGACACACGGCGGGUGCUAACGUCCGUCGUGAAGAGGGAAACAACCCAGACCGCCAGCUAAGGUCCCAAAGUCAUGGUUAAGUGGGAAACGAUGUGGGAAGGCCCAGACAGCCAGGAUGUUGGCUUAGAAGCAGCCAUCAUUUAAAGAAAGCGUAAUAGCUCACUGGUCGAGUCGGCCUGCGCGGAAGAUGUAACGGGGCUAAACCAUGCACCGAAGCUGCGGCAGCGACGCUUAUGCGUUGUUGGGUAGGGGAGCGUUCUGUAAGCCGUUGAAGGUGGCCUGUGAGGGUUGCUGGAGGUAUCAGAAGUGCGAAUGCUGACAUAAGUAACGAUAAUGCGGGUGAAAAACCCGCACGCCGGAAGACCAAGGGUUCCUGUCCAACGUUAAUCGGGGCAGGGUGAGUCGACCCCUAAGGCGAGGCCGAAAGGCGUAGUCGAUGGGAAACAGGUUAAUAUUCCUGUACUUGGUGUUACUGCGAAGGGGGGACGGAGAAGGCUAUGUUGGCCGGGCGACGGUUGUCCCGGUUUAAGCGUGUAGGUGUGUGUUCCAGGUAAAUCCGGUUCACUUUAACACUGAGGCGUGAUGACGAGGCACUACGGUGCUGAAGUGACAAAUGCCCUGCUUCCAGGAAAAGCCUCUAAGCAUCAGGUAACAUCAAAUCGUACCCCAAACCGACACAGGUGGUCAGGUAGAGAAUACCAAGGCGCUUGAGAGAACUCGGGUGAAGGAACUAGGCAAAAUGGUGCCGUAACUUCGGGAGAAGGCACGCUGAUACGUAGGUGAAGUGGUUUACCCAUGGAGCUGAAAUCAGUCGAAGAUACCAGCUGGCUGCAACUGUUUAUUAAAAACACAGCACUGUGCAAACACGAAAGUGGACGUAUACGGUGUGACGCCUGCCCGGUGCCGGAAGGUUAAUUGAUGGGGUUAUCCGUAAGGAGAAGCUCUUGAUCGAAGCCCCGGUAAACGGCGGCCGUAACUAUAACGGUCCUAAGGUAGCGAAAUUCCUUGUCGGGUAAGUUCCGACCUGCACGAAUGGCGUAAUGAUGGCCAGGCUGUCUCCACCCGAGACUCAGUGAAAUUGAACUCGCUGUGAAGAUGCAGUGUACCCGCGGCAAGACGGAAAGACCCCGUGAACCUUUACUAUAGCUUGACACUGAACACUGGUCCUUGAUGUGUAGGAUAGGUGGGAGGCUUUGAAGUGUGGACGCCAGUCUGCAUGGAGCCAUCCUUGAAAUACCACCCUUUAAUGGCUGGUGUUCUAACGUGGGCCCCUAAUCGGGGUUGCGGACAGUGUCUGGUGGGUAGUUUGACUGGGGCGGUCUCCUCCUAAAGAGUAACGGAGGAGCACGAAGGUCAGCUAAUCCUGGUCGGACAUCAGGAGGUUAGUGCAAUGGCAUAAGCUGGCUUGACUGCGAGCGUGACGGCGCGAGCAGGUGCGAAAGCAGGUCAUAGUGAUCCGGUGGUUCUGAAUGGAAGGGCCAUCGCUCAACGGAUAAAAGGUACUCCGGGGAUAACAGGCUGAUACCGCCCAAGAGUUCAUAUCGACGGCGGUGUUUGGCACCUCGAUGUCGGCUCAUCACAUCCUGGGGCUGAAGUAGGUCCCAAGGGUAUGGCUGUUCGCCAUUUAAAGUGGUACGCGAGCUGGGUUUAGAACGUCGUGAGACAGUUCGGUCCCUAUCUGCCGUGGGCGCUGGAGAAUUGAGGGGGGCUGCUCCUAGUACGAGAGGACCGGAGUGGACGCAUCACUGGUGUUCGGGUUGUCAUGCCAAUGGCAUUGCCCGGUAGCUAAAUGCGGAAGAGAUAAGUGCUGAAAGCAUCUAAGUACGAAACUUGCCCCGAGAUGAGUUCUCCCUGACCCUUUAAGGGUCCUGAAGGAACGUUGAAGACGACGACGUUGAUAGGCCGGGUGUGUAAGCGCAGCGAUGCGUUGAGCUAACCGGUACUAAUGAACCGUGAGGCUUAACCUU
This 2907-nucleotide ribosomal RNA is filed under the name Klebsiella sp. BDA134-6. Its description in RNAcentral is "23S ribosomal RNA". It matches the Rfam family "Bacterial large subunit ribosomal RNA". Lineage: Bacteria; Pseudomonadati; Pseudomonadota; Gammaproteobacteria; Enterobacterales; Enterobacteriaceae. The record is from RNAcentral.